AUUGAACGCUGGCGGCAGGCCUAACACAUGCAAGUCGAGCGGCAGCGGAAAGUAGCCUGCUACUUUGCCGGCGAGCGGCGGACGGGUGAGUAAUGUCUGGGAAACUGCCUGAUGGAGGGGGAUAACUACUGGAAACGGUAGCUAAUACCGCAUAUGUUGCAAGAACAAAGAGGGGGACCCUCGGGCCUCCUUCCAUCAGAUGUGCCCAGAUGGGAUUAGCUAGUAGGUGGGGUAAUGGCUCACCAAGGCGACGAUCCCUAGCUGGUCUGAGAGGAUGACCAGCCACACUGGAACUGAGACACGGUCCAGACUCCUACGGGAGGCAGCAGUGGGGAAUAUUGCACAAUGGGCGCAAGCCUGAUGCAGCCAUGCCGCGUGUAUGAAGAAGGCCUUCGGGUUGUAAAGUACUUUCAGCGGGGAGGAAGGUGUUGAGGUUAAUAACCUCAGCAAUUGACGUUACCCGCAGAAGAAGCACCGGCUAACUCCGUGCCAGCCGCCGCCGUAA
This 505-nucleotide ribosomal RNA is filed under the name uncultured bacterium. RNAcentral describes it as "partial 16S ribosomal RNA". It matches the Rfam family "Bacterial small subunit ribosomal RNA", at positions 30 to 523 of the family's 1533-position model. The record is from RNAcentral.